UACGUAGGGUGCGAGCGUUGUCCGGAAUUAUUGGGCGUAAAGGGCUCGUAGGCGGUCUGUCGCGUCGGGGGUGAAAACUCAGGGCUUAACCCUGAGCCUGCUUCCGAUACGGGCAGACUAGAGGUAUGCAGGGGAGAACGGAAUUCCUGGUGUAGCGGUGGAAUGCGCAGAUAUCAGGAGGAACACCGGUGGCGAAGGCGGCGAUCUGGGUCGAUACUGACGCUGAGGUGCGAAAGCGUGGGGAGCAAACAGG
RNAcentral lists this ribosomal RNA (253 nucleotides) under uncultured bacterium. RNAcentral's name for it is "partial 16S ribosomal RNA". It matches the Rfam family "Bacterial small subunit ribosomal RNA", at positions 524 to 776 of the family's 1533-position model. The record is from RNAcentral.